GACAUUGUAUUACACGAGCUAACAAUGGUAAAGUGUGAAUUCAAACAUUAAUGAAGAAAACCAUUCAGUAUUGUUAGACAUAUGUAACAUUUUUCAGACACAGUGACAUUGCAUCUGUCAAAAGAGUCUGCCUCUUUGCUAUAAAAGUAGUUCGAGUUUCUAGAAUCUUCAGUUCAUUCUUUGGAUUCACUCUUUCAUAUACAGACCAUGAAGUCCUGCGUCGCUGUUGUCUUGGCCGUCCUGUGCCUGACAGGAUCUGUCUUCUCUCAGACCAUCACCACAAACACCUUCCUCAACAACCUGAACAGCUUCAUCAGCAACAACCCAGCCCUGGCGCUGUCCUUCGUCGCUCCCUUUAUUGCCGCCAACAGCCUUGGACCCAACCCAAGCCGUGUCAUUAUUCCCCCACCCCCACCAUUCCUCGCCCCCUUCCCCAUCGCCCAGCCACCAGUCAUCGUCUACCACCACAACCGCAAACACUACUGAGAAAGAAUCACCAUCAUGUUAUUUAUUUCCAAUCAUCACCACUUUAAUUGACGCACAUCGUAAAGAAGAAGAAGAAUAAGCGGAAUGAGAGCAGGACAAGCGCCGCUCAGCACACACAUCGUCACAGAAUCAGAUCCAUUUGUCGCUCAUCACCAUUGUUUAUGUUGGCAAUAAACACAUUC
This is a long non-coding RNA of Magallana angulata, 668 nucleotides long. RefSeq lists it as uncharacterized. NCBI's taxonomy places the organism in Eukaryota, Metazoa, Mollusca, Bivalvia, Ostreida, Ostreidae. The record is from RefSeq and is a predicted model, not a curated record. The transcript is spliced from 3 exons.